RNAcentral lists this ribosomal RNA (208 nucleotides) under uncultured bacterium. RNAcentral's name for it is "partial 16S ribosomal RNA". It matches the Rfam family "Bacterial small subunit ribosomal RNA", at positions 568 to 774 of the family's 1533-position model. The record is from RNAcentral.
CUCGUAGGCGGUUCGUCGCGUCCGGUGUGAAAGUCCAUCGCUUAACGGUGGAUCCGCGCCGGGUACGGGCGGGCUUGAGUGCGGUAGGGGGAGACUGGAAUUCCCGGUGUAACGGUGGAAUGUGUAGAUAUCGGGAAGAACACCAAUGGCGAAGGCAGGUCUCUGGGCCGUUACUGACGCUGAGGAGCGAAAGCGUGGGGAGCGAACA